GGGUUGUGAGGUUAAGCGACUAAGCGUACACGGUGGAUGCCCUGGCAGUCAGAGGCGAUGAAGGACGUGCUAAUCUGCGAUAAGCGUCGGUAAGGUGAUAUGAACCAUUAUAACCGGCGAUUUCCGAAUGGGGAAACCCAGUGUGAUUCGUCACACUAUCAUUAACUGAAUCCAUAGGUUAAUGAGGCGAACCGGGGGAACUGAAACAUCUAAGUACCCCGAGGAAAAGAAAUCAACCGAGAUUCCCCCAGUAGCGGCGAGCGAACGGGGAGCAGCCCAGAGCCUGAAUCAGUGUGUGUGUUAGUGGAAGCGUCUGGAAAGGCGUGCGAUACAGGGUGACAGCCCCGUACACAAAAAUGCACAUAUUGUGAGCUCGAUGAGUAGGGCGGGACACGUGGUAUCCUGUCUGAAUAUGGGGGGACCAUCCUCCAAGGCUAAAUACUCCUGACUGACCGAUAGUGAACCAGUACCGUGAGGGAAAGGCGAAAAGAACCCCGGCGAGGGGAGUGAAAAAGAACCUGAAACCGUGUACGUACAAGCAGUGGGAGCACGCUUAGGCGUGUGACUGCGUACCUUUUGUAUAAUGGGUCAGCGACUUAUAUUCUGUAGCAAGGUUAACCGAAUAGGGGAGCCGAAGGGAAACCGAGUCUUAACUGGGCGUUAAGUUGCAGGGUAUAGACCCGAAACCCGGUGAUCUAGCCAUGGGCAGGUUGAAGGUUGGGUAACACUAACUGGAGGACCGAACCGACUAAUGUUGAAAAAUUAGCGGAUGACUUGUGGCUGGGGGUGAAAGGCCAAUCAAACCGGGAGAUAGCUGGUUCUCCCCGAAAGCUAUUUAGGUAGCGCCUCGUGAAUUCAUCUCCGGGGGUAGAGCACUGUUUCGGCAAGGGGGUCAUCCCGACUUACCAACCCGAUGCAAACUGCGAAUACCGGAGAAUGUUAUCACGGGAGACACACGGCGGGUGCUAACGUCCGUCGUGAAGAGGGAAACAACCCAGACCGCCAGCUAAGGUCCCAAAGUCAUGGUUAAGUGGGAAACGAUGUGGGAAGGCCCAGACAGCCAGGAUGUUGGCUUAGAAGCAGCCAUCAUUUAAAGAAAGCGUAAUAGCUCACUGGUCGAGUCGGCCUGCGCGGAAGAUGUAACGGGGCUAAACCAUGCACCGAAGCUGCGGCAGCGACGCUGAUGCGUUGUUGGGUAGGGGAGCGUUCUGUAAGCCUGUGAAGGUGUGCUGUGAGGUAUGCUGGAGGUAUCAGAAGUGCGAAUGCUGACAUAAGUAACGAUAAAGCGGGUGAAAAGCCCGCUCGCCGGAAGACCAAGGGUUCCUGUCCAACGUUAAUCGGGGCAGGGUGAGUCGACCCCUAAGGCGAGGCCGAAAGGCGUAGUCGAUGGGAAACAGGUUAAUAUUCCUGUACUUGGUGUUACUGCGAAGGGGGGACGGAGAAGGCUAUGUUGGCCGGGCGACGGUUGUCCCGGUUUAAGCGUGUAGGCUGGUUUUCCAGGCAAAUCCGGAAAACUAAGGCUGAGGCGUGAUGACGAGGCACUACGGUGCUGAAGCAACAAAUGCCCUGCUUCCAGGAAAAGCCUCUAAGCAUCAGGUAACAUCAAAUCGUACCCCAAACCGACACAGGUGGUCAGGUAGAGAAUACCAAGGCGCUUGAGAGAACUCGGGUGAAGGAACUAGGCAAAAUGGUGCCGUAACUUCGGGAGAAGGCACGCUGAUAUGUAGGUGAAGUCCCUCGCGGAUGGAGCUGAAAUCAGUCGAAGAUACCAGCUGGCUGCAACUGUUUAUUAAAAACACAGCACUGUGCAAACACGAAAGUGGACGUAUACGGUGUGACGCCUGCCCGGUGCCGGAAGGUUAAUUGAUGGGGUCAGCGCAAGCGAAGCUCUUGAUCGAAGCCCCGGUAAACGGCGGCCGUAACUAUAACGGUCCUAAGGUAGCGAAAUUCCUUGUCGGGUAAGUUCCGACCUGCACGAAUGGCGUAAUGAUGGCCAGGCUGUCUCCACCCGAGACUCAGUGAAAUUGAACUCGCUGUGAAGAUGCAGUGUACCCGCGGCAAGACGGAAAGACCCCGUGAACCUUUACUAUAGCUUGACACUGAACAUUGAGCCUUGAUGUGUAGGAUAGGUGGGAGGCUUUGAAGUGUGGACGCCAGUCUGCAUGGAGCCGACCUUGAAAUACCACCCUUUAAUGUUUGAUGUUCUAACGUUGACCCGUAAUCCGGGUUGCGGACAGUGUCUGGUGGGUAGUUUGACUGGGGCGGUCUCCUCCUAAAGAGUAACGGAG
This 2288-nucleotide ribosomal RNA is filed under the name Shigella flexneri. RNAcentral describes it as "partial 23S ribosomal RNA". It matches the Rfam family "Bacterial large subunit ribosomal RNA", at positions 1 to 2305 of the family's 2925-position model. The record is from RNAcentral. Lineage: Bacteria; Pseudomonadati; Pseudomonadota; Gammaproteobacteria; Enterobacterales; Enterobacteriaceae.